GCAGUUCAAACUUCACAUAAUCUGGAUGAGUUCCAACUAAACUAAACAGCAGGUGAUCCUAUCAAAACAAAAUAUUAUUCCGACUUUCAAGAAAUUAGUUUUCUCGUCUGUUCAACAACAAAACAAUUCCAAAUAAUUAUUACACAUAAUUGUUAGCUGGGUAGGUACAUUUGUUUUUGCCAUAUAAGCAAGUGAGAAAAAUCAAGCAAGCCUUCAGCAAUCUCCAUGAAGCUGUGAUAAAGUUCUGAGGCUUAGAGAGCAUAACCAUAUGGGCUGAGCAUCCACUGCUGUGUUUCUCUUCUCAAAACCUCAUCUUCAUGGCUAAUCACAAAUGCUCGAAUGGACAGGUCUUACCAACUUGGUUGCCAGAGUUAAAUCCUGCCAACACUAGUGUCCGCAACUAAAAUAUCUAGACAAUCCUUGUUUGCAAGAGAACUUCCGCAAAGCAGACAUUUUACGGAUUAUAAAGUAAAUGCCUAGGAAAGUUUAGGUUGUUUUGAUUUCCCAGUAUUUCCUAUGAUAACGACAAACUUUUCUUGUAUGUUUAAGCUGUAUUGUAAAAAUUUAACAAGCAAAGCCUUAAGUAGGUGUAGAGAAAGAAGAUGAUCUGUUGGGAAUUAAUAAUAAGCAUCUCACCUCAGGUGAACAGAUGAUCUGAUACAUGUUGGCUGACAGGAAAUUUGGGCCAAACCUAAAGGAAGUAGGUGGCUUUGCUACCCUAUUUUCAUACCCACACUAUUUGUCCAUUUCAUUGCGUGGUGGUGGUUGUCUGCGCCUGGCCUGCAAUUUUUACAAGAAAAAUGGUGGUUGGCCUGCAAUUUUCACAAAAAAAAAA
RNAcentral lists this long non-coding RNA (835 nucleotides) under Aquilegia coerulea. Its description in RNAcentral is "long non-coding RNA (ACOE_LNC001743)". Lineage: Eukaryota; Viridiplantae; Streptophyta; Magnoliopsida; Ranunculales; Ranunculaceae. The record is from RNAcentral.